AGGAGAAAUGAUUAUUCUGUCUUAUACCGCCCCAGUCUGAGAAUUCAUGACUGAUUGGUAUCCUCUGAUCCC
Molecule: small nucleolar RNA, 72 nt
Organism: Cololabis saira (Pacific saury)
Lineage: Eukaryota; Metazoa; Chordata; Actinopteri; Beloniformes; Belonidae
Source: RefSeq, a predicted model, not a curated record